AAGAAUAAAGAACAAAGAGUAAAGUGAAAAGAACUAAAGAACAUGCAUAACCUGCAUCUAUUAAUGUUGAGCAUAUUCCUUGCUUUUGUUCAGGCAUAUUAGCAUCAUGUUAUAGAUUGGUUACCAUAUUUCAGCUUAUCCUUACUAUUAUGCCUGAGUUAGUCCUAGUGGGAAAGUCGGUGAUGUUGAGGCCGAACCCACUGGGAACUUUGUUGUAGUUCUCACCCCACUAUUUCCACAGAGCCGGGACCGAGCGAGCCGGCGAGCGACCGAGGUAAAGGUAUCGCGCCUUAGUCAGAGGCCACCAGAGUUGGGUUACAUUUUGUUAGUAGACACCCUUUUAUCAUCUUUUGUACUUGAUGAUUAGUGAUGUAAAGAAAAGAAUGCAAAGCUUAUUUUGAGGUAAAUGUGUUGUAAGAAAGAAAUGAUGAGAUUAUGUAAGAACAGCAAAGAAUCUUAAAUGUAAAAGAUGGAUGCAAUGUAUAUGAUCUAAAAUGAAUCAUAUUACUUGUGAAUGUUUAGUUUUCCUUUCUUUCACUGAUGGCUAUUGCUUACCCUCGCGUAAGCCGUUUGUGUAUGUUUCCGCUAGUGCUUUUCUCUAUUGAUGAAAAUGUACAUGUGAUGAGCCUUGGGCGGAUAGGGAAAACUCUGUCCGUCCGGCGUCUGUUUGACGCGCUCGGGUCGGGCCAAAUUGGCAGCGGUCCCGGGGCGUGACAGAUAGGUUGGUAUCAGAGCCAAUAGUGAAAGAAUAGGAAUGGACCUAGAGACCUAUAGGAUUGGAAGGCCUUAAGGAUCUAGGAAACGUGAGUGACGUGGGAUCAAGUUAGCGAAAGCAUGUGAUUGGGUUAAGUUGGAACGUCUCUAAUGUGAUUAGAGGCUAGGUUUAAUUUUCGUUUAUCCUCUACUUCUAGUGUUGUGUCGGGCGGCCGACGACAUGACGCUUGAGGCAAGGAUGAAUAUGCAUGUUGCUUUCGCCUAAUUGGGUAUGGUCAAGUAAUGUUGGUCAAGUGACUAAUGUGAGUUGCUUCUUUUCAGGAAGCAAUGGCACCUCGACGUCGAUCGCAGACAAGGUCGAUGCCGGAGGAAGCGAAUGCGGUGCCCGAGCAAUCCGGAGCAAGUGACGACGGAGAGCUCAGGGAGCAAAUGGCCGCGCUUAUUGGCGUAGUGCGGCAACAAGCGGAGUCUGUUCAACGCCAAGGGGAACAGAUUCAGCGCAUCUCCAGGAGACCUUGGAGCGCCAGCAGGCGGCGGCGGCCCAGGCGGACGACGAGCAUGUCGCGCCCCCUGCGGUAGUGCCGAGCGUGGACGAGGGAGCGGCGGCAGCGGCGGCUGUCCCAGUCACGGUAGUACCGGCCGGGUCGGGAACGUCGAAUCCCGAUAGCGCGGCAGUUGAAUGCGGAGCGAGAGCGCACUUUGGCGGCGCUUAUACAGUUCAAGAAGUUCGAUCCCACCUACCUUCGAGGGCGGUUUGGUGGAGCCGGCGGUUGUGGAGUCGUGGAUCGACUCGAUGGAGACCCUAUUCGAGGACCUUAAUACCUCGGAGAAGGAUAAAGUGUAUCCUCGCCACCCAUUAUCUAGGGAAGGCGUCGAAAGGUGUGGUGGAAGCGAGUUAAGCGGGAUCGACCUACCGAUCUCCCGCUCAUGCUUUGGGAAGAGUUCAAGAGAGCGGUGUUCGUGAACUACUUCCCCGACACGGUGAAGCGGAAGCUACAAGAAAAGUUUCCGCAAGUUGAGACAGGGUGAUCGAUCGGUGGGGGAGUAUGAGCAGGAAUUCUCCCACAUUAUUGACUUGCGUUCCCGACGUUGUUCGUGAUGAUCGGGACCGGGCGGAUUGGUUCUUGCGAGGACUUCAGCCCCGAAUUUAUGAAAAGGUGCAGAUUCUGAAGUUGUCGACCUUUGCGGAGGUCUUCGAUAGAGCCCUUUGUGGGCGGAGCACGGUAGCGCCCAUGUACGUGAAGAACGAGAAGCUAUUGCCGAGACCAAGGACAAGGACAAGAAGAGAACGGCGGGCUGGUGCCGGGGGCCGGCCAAAUGCUAAGAAACCCCCUCGGUAUCCCCGACAGCAGCGAGGAAUUGGAGACCGCCUCGAUGUGUUAUAUGUGGCGGUGAGCACAAGGUGUCGACUUGCCCGCAGCGAGACGGCAAAUGUUUCAAGUGCGGCCAACCGGGACACCUGUCAUCCGGGAGUGCCCGUUGUGGACGUCGUCUGCGCCGACGGCGACAUUCAGCACCGUCUACCCCGAGACAGCUUGCGGGGCUUACCACCAGCGAUGUCGGCUGGGCGCGCGUCAUCACCGCGUCAGCCGGAGGGAUCGAGAGCGCCUAGCGGCCGAGUCUUUGCAGCUCAGGUGGAGGAGCAACAACCUGCAGCACCCGACGACGUCGUGGCAGGUAUAAUUGUGAUUAAAGGCACUAGAGCUAGAGCAGUGUUUGAUACAGGCGCAUCUCAUUCAUUCAUUAGCACUUCAUUUGCUAAGACACAUGGCAUAGAGAUGGUGUACAAUGAGGAUUACUGGUGGGUGAACGCUCCAGAGCAUUCAUUCAGUGUCCAUAAUGAGUGUUUGGCGUGUCCAGUGCAAAUAGGCGAUUGGAUUAUGCCGAUUGAUCUGCUAGUGCUAGAUCAGAUGUGGGGAUUCGAUGUUAUCUUGGGGACCAACUGGCUCUCCAAGUACUAUGCGGUGAUAGAUUGUGAAAGUAAGGUGAUCACUUUUCGUGAGCCUAAUCAAGAGGAGUUAGUCUACCAAGCGUGCAAAAGUAGGCGCUUCGCGGCGACUAUAUCGUCAGUAAGGGCGAAGAAAAUGAUCAAAGGAGGGUGUAAGGCCUAUUUGGCAACCAUGGUGGAUGCUCGAAGGGAGUACCCAGACCUUGGGAAGAUAUCCGAGUAGUGUGCGAGUACCCGGAUGUGUUUCCGGCGGAGUUACCGGGACUGCCACCGGACCGGAAAGUUGAGUUUGUCAUUGACUUGAUUCCCGGGGCGGAACCAGUUUCGAAGGCUCCGUAUAGAAUGGCACCGGUGGAGUUAAAGGAGCUAAAAGGUCAACUACAAGACUUGCUCGAUAAAGGCUUCGUGAGACCGAGUGUGUCACCGUGGGGAGCUCCGGUGCUAUUUGUGAAGAAAAAGGAUGGCACACUUCGACUCUGCGUAGAUUAUCGCGAGUUAAACAAAGUAACGAUAAAGAACAAGUACCCGUUGCCAAGGAUUGAUGAUCUGUUCGAUCAGUUGCAAGGGUCCAAGGUGUAUUCGAAGAUUGAUCUCCAAUCGGGGUAUCAUCAAUUAAAGAUCAGGCCGAAAGAUGUGCACAAAACAGCGUACCGUACGCGGUAUGGCCAUUAUGAGUUUACGGUAAUGCCGUUUGGGCUUACCAAUGCCCCGGCAGCAUUUAUGGACUUGAUGAAUCGAGUCUUUAGACCGUUGUUGGAUCGAUGCGUCGUGGUGUUUAUUGACGACGUCUUGGUUUAUUCAAAGAGUGAGGAGGAGCACGAAGAGCAUCUGAGAGCGGUGUUGCAGAUACUCAGACAAGAGAAGCUCUAUGCAAAGUUAAAGAAGUGUGACUUCUGGCUAAAGGAGGUCACAUUCUUGGGUCAUGUGGUAUCGGGCGACGGAGUUUCGGUAGACCCGAAGAAAGUAGAGGCGAUCAAGGAUUGGCCUCGCCCGACGAGUGUAGCGGAGGUCCGCAGUUUUCUUGGACUGGCGGGCUACUACCGGCGGUUCGUGGAGGGGUUCGCCAAAAUAAUCACUCCACUAACGCGCCUCACGCAUAAAGGAGUAAAGUACGUGUGGAGCGACGAUUGCGAUCGAAGCUUCGAGGAGUUAAAGAACAGAUUGACGUCGACCCCGGUGCUUGCCUUGCCGACUCCGGGGGAGACCUUUGUAGUGUACAGUGAUGCCUCGUAUGUUGGUCUCGGGUGUGUAUUAAUGCAAAAUGGGCGAGUUAUUGCUUAUGCAUCGCGCCAAUUAAAGAGCUACGAGAAGAACUACCCGAUUCACGACCUCGAGUUAGCUGCGGUGAUUUUCGCGCUAAAGCUGUGGAGGCAUUACUUGUAUGGUGAACAUUGUGAGGUGUAUACCGAUCACAAGAGCCUGAAGUAUUUGUUCACCCAGAGGGAGUUGAACAUGCGACAGCGGCGGUGGUUAGAGUUGCUGAAGGACUAUGAUGUCACCAUAUUAUACCACCCGGGAAAAGCCAAUGUCGUGGCCGAUGCCUUGAGUAGAAAGUCGGCGGAGAACUUAGCGACGGCAAUUACGCCUCAACCGCUAUUACAAAAGGAAAUGCAACGAUUCGGGUUGGAAGUGGUAGCGCCGGGAGUGCCGGCUACACUUGCCACAUUGGUUGUGCAACCGACCCUGUUGGAAAGAAUCAAAGAGUUACAAACCUCGGAUCCUUAUCUCCAAAAGGUUCGAGAUGAUGUUGAGAACGGUAAAGCCGAAGACUUUGGCGUUGGAGCUGAUGGCGCACUUCGAUUCCGAGAUCGAUGGUGUGUGCCUAAAGAUGAUGAGUUGCGAGGGGCGAUCAUGCAGGAAGCACAUCAAUCUCCCUAUAGUAUACACCCCGGCGGCACUAAAAUGUACAAGGAUUUGAAAGAGCACUAUUGGUGGCCGGGUAUGAAAAGAGAUAUUGGGGAGUUCGUGGCGCAAUGUUUAACGUGCCAACAAGUUAAAGCUGAGCGCCGAUUUCCGGCGGGAAAGCUACAAAGUCUACCGAUACCCGUUUGGAAAUGGGAAAACAUAGCAAUGGACUUUGUUACAGGUUUGCCUCGAUCGCAAGGCGGACAUGAUGCGAUAUGGGUGAUAGUGGAUCGAUUGACAAAGUCGGCACACUUCUUGCCGAUACAUACUACGUGGUCGGGAGACAAGCUAGCGCAAGUUUAUCUCGACGAGGUUGUGAGACUUCAUGGGGUUCCAGUGUCGAUCGUGUCGGAUCGCGACCCCAGGUUCACAUCCCACUUUUGGAAAAGUUUGCAAGACGCGCUAGGCACGCGGCUCGAUUUUAGCACGGCGUUUCAUCCUCAGAGUGAUGGACAAUCAGAGCGAACGAUACAAAUCCUUGAGGAUUUACUUCGAGCGUGUGUGCUAGAUUACAAAGGAGGAUGGCAUGAUUUCUUGCCUAUGGCGGAGUUCGCCUACAAUAAUAGCUACCAAGAGAGCAUAGCAAUGGCGCCUUUUGAGGCACUAUAUGGACGUAAGUGUCGUUCUCCUAUUCAUUGGAGCGACGUGGGCGAGAAAGCGGCUCUUGGCCCGGAUGUAGUGCGGGAGGCGGAAGAGAAAGUUCGCCUUGCCCGUCAACGGUUGGCGAUGGCGCAAUCUCGGCAAAAGAGUUAUGCCGACAAGCGAAGAAAGGAUUUAGAGUUCGCGGUUGGAGACCGUGUAUUCUUGAGAGUAUCGCCGAUGCGAGGAGUUAAACGAUUUGGGGUCCGUGGGAAGCUAAGUCCCCGAUAUGUCGGACCAUUUGAGAUAUUAGAGCGUGUGGGUGCGGUGGCGUAUAAGCUCGCAUUACCACCGAGACUCGCGGGAGUUCAUAAUGUAUUUCUUGUGUCGAAUCUUCGAAAGUAUAUCCGAAACCCGACACAUGUAUUGGAGUAUGAGCCCGUGGAGCUACGUGAGGAUAUGACCUACGAGGAGUACCCGGUGUGCAUCCUCGAUAGAGAAGUGAAAAAGUUGCGAAGUCGCAAAAUCCCUUAUGUGAAAGUCCAGUGGAGCAACCAUGAUGUGCGAGAAGCCACUUGGGAGCUCGAGGAGUCAAUGCGGAAAGAAUAUCCGCAUCUAUUUGAGUCGACGAGUUAAGGUAUGCGUAAUUUCGCGGACGAAAUUAUUUUAAGGGGUGGAGAAUGUAAUAUACCGAAAAUUCGGAAAAUAAAUAUCGAACUUUAGUCAAAUUGACCAAAGUACGAGAAUGGUGCACUUCGGAAAGUCCGAAGGUGUUAAAAUGAUCGAAAGUGAGUUACGGGAGGUUUUCGAGAGCUAGAGAAUCAAAUUCUGCAAAACUGCAGUUUUUGAGCUCUCGGGGACCGGUCCCUGGUGGGAGAGACCGGUCCCCGAACGCGUGCAGAAUGAGACAGCCGAAAAAUCGGCUAAGUCCUGGAAGAUCAGCUCUCGGGAACCGGUCUCUGUCUGAGAGACCGGUCCCCCAGAGACCGGUCCCAUAAGGAGAGACCGGACCCAUCGCGCGCAGCUGCUCUGGCUGCGCUGGGAGAGCUCUCGGAGACCGGUCCCUAGUCGGGGAGACCGGUCCCCGAGCCCGAAAACUGCCCAGUCCAGGCAGUUGCAAUAGAUGAAAGUUGAGGGGUUUAUUAGCAUUUUUGCCACCCAAUGGUUAUGUAAGGGGGCUGAAAGGGCCUUUCUCUCAUUCCACUCCCUCUCACACUCUCUCCUCUCUUUCUCUCUCUAGAAGACAAAGAAGGAGAAGAAGAAGAAGGAGAAGAAGACAAAGAAGGAGAAGAAGGUGAAGAAGAAGCUUUUGGAGCAAAGGAGCCUCAUCUUCUUCCUCUCUAGGGCAAGAAAGGAAAGCUUACAAGGUAAGCUUUGAUCUAUAUUGUAGAAAAACCCUAGAAUGAGUUUUGAAUAACCUAGAAAUGGGUUUUAAUGGGAUAUUUGAAGAGUUUUGAAGCUUUCUUUUGGUUCUUUAGAGAUCAAAUCCAUGGUUGAGCUCAAGGUGAGCUUCAACCCACCUCUAAUGGUGAAAUCCAAACUAGGGUUUUGGAAAGCCUAAGAAUGAUUCUAAUGGGCUAUUUAGAGUAUAAUGAAGCUACUUUUGCUUCCCAAUGAGAUCAAACCCUAGGUUUUGAUAUACAUUGGAGCUAGGGCACCCAAAUUGGGGCUUUUGCUCAUGAAGGUUUCUAAGUGCAAUUGACCCUCUAAAAACCUAAUUGGGGGUAUUUCCGACGCGUUGGUGCGCUCGGAAUAGCAUUUCGAAAAGUGUAUGAAAAGUUAUGGGCAAAAUGGCCUAAUAAGGGUUCGUUUUGCCGCAGGUAAAGAACGAGGCAUCUAAAAAUUCUAAGAAAAUCAUCGGAGCACCUAAAGAGACCUACAAGGUGGGUGGUGCUUCUCAAACUCAUUGAAAUUCUCUCUAUGCCUAAUGUGUCAUUCUUUGAGCAUAUGUUAUAUGUAUUGUUGCAUGCAUUUUAGGGUAAAGUAAUGAUGAAAUGUGAUGAUUGCAUAAUUGUGAGCACAACUUGCAUAAUGAGAUGGUUGAGAACCUAAUAAUGUCAAAACCCUAUAUGUAUGCAUGAGAGAAAAGUGAGCACCCAAAGUGAGCAAAAGAACAGAGUGGCACAAUGACAUAGAUCGAGUGGCAUUCAAUAAAGCUAAUGUGAAAUGACACUAGAGUUAGUGUGAUGUAAAGAAUUAAAGUGAUGUAAAGAAUGAUGAAAAUAACGACGAGUAAAGCUAAAGUAAAGUGGGCAAUAAGAACAAGAAUGCUAGAGUUAGCAAAAGUAAAAGAAAUGCAAAGAACAAUGAUUGCUAGAGUUAGCAAGAGUAAUGAGAAUGUAAAGAAUGUGAUUGCAUGAGUUUGCAACAUAAAGUGAUGUAAAGAACACUAGAGCUAGUGUAAAGUCAAGAUUGAACUAUAAUCCUUUGAGUUAAGGAUAUGAUCAUACUUGCUGUUGAGUUCCGUGCUCGAGGGCGGUCGCUCCCCCUCGGGCGAUGCGCUCCGGAGUUAUGCAUCCGGGUUGGAGUAGACCCGAAAGGACGGUCCUAGCUGGUGAGUACCUGCGAUGAUGGACUUAGCGUGAGGCAAGUUAAUGUGGCGAAACCCCCGGGUUAGCCUUAAUGAUUAAAGAGCAAAGAACAAAGAAUAAAGAACAAAGAGUAAAGUGAAAAGAACUAAAGAACAUGCAUAACCUGCAUCUAUUAAUGUUGAGCAUAUUCCUUGCUUUUGUUCAGGCAUAUUAGCAUCAUGUUAUAGAUUGGUUACCAUAUUUCAGCUUAUCCUUUCUAUUAUGCCUGAGUUAGUCCUAGUGGGAAAGUCGGUGAUGUUGAGGCCGAACCCACUGGGAACUUUGUUGUAGUUCUCACCCCACUAUUUCCACAGAGCCGGGACCGAGCGAGCCGGCGAGCGACCGAGGUAAAGGUAUCGCGCCUUAGUCAGAGGCCACCAGAGUUGGGUUACAUUUUGUUAGUAGACACCCUUUUAUCAUCUUUUGUACUUGAUGAUUAGUGAUGUAAAGAAAAGAAUGCAAAGCUUAUUUUGAGGUAAAUGUGUUGUAAGAAAGAAAUGAUGAGAUUAUGUAAGAACAGCAAAGAAUCUUAAAUGUAAGAGAUGGAUGCAAUGUAUAUGAUCUAAAAUGAAUCAUAUUACUUGUGAAUGUUUAGUUUUCCUUUCUUUCACUGAUGGCUAUUGCUUACCCUCGCGUAAGCCGUUUGUGUAUGUUUCCGCUAGUGCUUUUCUCUAUUGAUGAAAAUGUACAUGUGAUGAGCCUUGGGCGGAUAGGGGAAACUCUGUCCGUCCGGCGUCUGUUUGACGUGCUCGGAUCGGGCCAAAUUGGCAGCGGUCCCGGGGCGUGACA
This 8505-nucleotide long non-coding RNA is filed under the name Ananas comosus (pineapple). Its description in RNAcentral is "long non-coding RNA (ACOM_LNC044168)". Lineage: Eukaryota; Viridiplantae; Streptophyta; Magnoliopsida; Poales; Bromeliaceae. The record is from RNAcentral.